Molecule: ribosomal RNA, 809 nt
Filed under: uncultured bacterium
Lineage: Bacteria
Description: bacterial SSU rRNA
Rfam family: Bacterial small subunit ribosomal RNA
Source: RNAcentral
UCGGCUUAGAGUUUGAUCAUGGCUCAGGAUGAACGCUGGCGGCGUGCCUAAUACAUGCAAGUCGAACGAAACUUCUUUAUCACCGAGUGCUUGCACUCACCGAUAAAGAGUUGAGUGGCGAACGGGUGAGUAACACGUGGGCAACCUGCCCAAAAGAGGGGGAUAACACAUGGAAACAGGUGCUAAUACCGCAUAACCAUAGUUACCGCAUGGUAACUAUGUAAAAGGUGGCUAUGCUACCGCUUUUGGAUGGGCCCGCGGCGCAUUAGCUAGUUGGUGAGGUAAAGGCUUACCAAGGCGAUGAUGCGUAGCCGAACUGAGAGGUUGAUCGGCCACAUUGGGACUGAGACACGGCCCAAACUCCUACGGGAGGCAGCAGUAGGGAAUCUUCCACAAUGGGCGAAAGCCUGAUGGAGCAACGCCGCGUGGGUGAAGAAGGUCUUCGGAUCGUAAAACCCUGUUGUUAGAGAAGAAAGUGCGUGAGAGUAACUGUUCACGUUUCGACGGUAUCUAACCAGAAAGCCACGGCUAACUACGUGCCAGCAGCCGCGGUAAUACGUAGGUGGCAAGCGUUAUCCGGAUUUAUUGGGCGUAAAGGGAACGCAGGCGGUCUUUUAAGUCUGAUGUGAAAGCCUUCGGCUUAACCGGAGUAGUGCAUUGGAAACUGGGAGACUUGAGUGCAGAAGAGGAGAGUGGAACUCCAUGUGUAGCGGUGAAAUGCGUAGAUAUAUGGAAGAACACCAGUGGCGAAAGCGGCUCUCUGGUCUGUAACUGACGCUGAGGUUCGAAAGCGUGGGGAGCAAACAGGA